Rhipicephalus microplus (southern cattle tick) is the source of this 196-nucleotide long non-coding RNA. The record is from RefSeq and is a predicted model, not a curated record. NCBI's taxonomy places the organism in Eukaryota, Metazoa, Arthropoda, Arachnida, Ixodida, Ixodidae.
UUUCAGCUAAAGCCUACGCAGCAAUGCCCGAAGACUUAGCCGAAAAGUGCAAGAUGAAAUGCUGCUAUGACAAUCUCCGUCUAACAUGGUGCCGAACAGUAGAUGUCUUGGAAGGCAUGACAUGCGUAGGAGAACACACAUGCAGAAGAGGAAUCUGUGCUAACCACACGUGGGCAGAAAAAUAAAGAGGAGAUCA